RNAcentral lists this ribosomal RNA (482 nucleotides) under uncultured bacterium. RNAcentral's name for it is "partial 16S ribosomal RNA". It matches the Rfam family "Bacterial small subunit ribosomal RNA", at positions 30 to 507 of the family's 1533-position model. The record is from RNAcentral.
AUUGAACGCUGGCGGCAUGCUCUACACAUGCAAGUCGAACGGUAACAGGCCGCAAGGUGCUGACGAGUGGCGAACGGGUGAGUAAUGCAUUGGAACGUGCCCAGUCGUGGGGGAUAACUACUCGAAAGAGUAGCUAAUACCGCAUACGAUCUAUGGAUGAAAGCGGGGGACCGUAAGGCCUCGCGCGAUUGGAGCGGCCGAUGUCAGAUUAGGUAGUUGGUGGGGUAAAGGCUCACCAAGCCAACGAUCUGUAGCUGGUCUGAGAGGACGACCAGCCACACUGGGACUGAGACACGGCCCAGACUCCUACGGGAGGCAGCAGUGGGGAAUUUUGGACAAUGGGCGCAAGCCUGAUCCAGCAAUGCCGCGUGCAGGAAGAAGGCCUUCGGGUUGUAAACUGCUUUUGUACGGAACGAAACGGCUCUGGUUAAUACCCGGGGCUAAUGACGGUACCGUAAGAAUAAGCACCGGGUAACUACGUG